Molecule: ribosomal RNA, 460 nt
Filed under: uncultured bacterium
Lineage: Bacteria
Description: partial 16S ribosomal RNA
Rfam family: Bacterial small subunit ribosomal RNA
Source: RNAcentral
CCUACGGGGGACAGCAGUGAGGAAUAUUGGUCAAUGGGCGCGAGACUGAACCAGCCAAGUCGCGUGAGGGAUGAAGGUCCUAAGGAUCGUAAACUUCUUUUGUCAGGGAACAAAGUCUGGCACGCGUCCCUGGUUGUGUGUACUUGAUGAAUAAGGAUCGGCUAACUCCGUGCCAGCAGCCGCGGUAAUACGGAGGAUCCGAGCGUUAUCCGGAUUUAUUGGGUUUAAAGGGAGCGCAGACGGGUUGUUAAGUCAGGUGUGAAAGUCUGGGGCUCAACCGCAACACUGCAGUUGAAACUGGCAGUCUCGAGUUGGAGAGAGGUAUGCGGAAUUCGCGGUGUAGCGGUGAAAUGCAUAGAUAUCGCGCAGAACUCCGAUUGCGAAGGCAGCAUGCCAGCUCCACACUGACACUGAGGCACGAAAGCGUGGGUAUCGAACAGGAUUAGAUACCCGAGUAGUC